AGAGUUUGAUCCUGGCUCAGAAUGAACGCUGGCGGCAUGCCUAACACAUGCAAGUCGAACGAUGCUUUCGGGCAUAGUGGCGCACGGGUGCGUAACGCGUGGGAAUCUACCCUUGGGUUCGGAAUAACAGUUGGAAACGACUGCUAAUACCGGAUGACGACGUAAGUCCAAAGAUUUAUCGCCCGAGGAUGAGCCCGCGUAGGAUUAGCUAGUUGGUGUGGUAAAGGCGCACCAAGGCGACGAUCCUUAGCUGGUCUGAGAGGAUGAUCAGCCACACUGGGACUGAGACACGGCCCAGACUCCUACGGGAGGCAGCAGUGGGGAAUAUUGGACAAUGGGCGAAAGCCUGAUCCAGCAAUGCCGCGUGAGUGAUGAAGGCCUUAGGGUUGUAAAGCUCUUUUACCCGGGAUGAUAAUGACAGUACCGGGAGAAUAAGCUCCGGCUAACUCCGUGCCAGCAGCCGCGGUAAUACGGAGGGAGCUAGCGUUAUUCGGAAUUACUGGGCGUAAAACGCACGUAGGCGGCUUUGUAAGUUAGAGGUGAAAGCCCGGAGCUCAACUCCGGAAUUGCCUUGAUACUGCAUCGCUUGAAUCCAGGAGAGGUGAGUGGAAUUCCGAGUGUAGAGGUGAAUUCGUAGAUAUUCGGAAGAACACCAGUGGC
RNAcentral lists this ribosomal RNA (660 nucleotides) under uncultured Sphingomonas sp. Its description in RNAcentral is "bacterial SSU rRNA". It matches the Rfam family "Bacterial small subunit ribosomal RNA", at positions 8 to 716 of the family's 1533-position model. The record is from RNAcentral. Lineage: Bacteria; Pseudomonadati; Pseudomonadota; Alphaproteobacteria; Sphingomonadales; Sphingomonadaceae.